UUUUAGCAAUGAAUUCCUGCAUUUAAUUCCAUACAUCUUUUGGACAUUUUGGACACCGAACUACGUUUUUGUAGCCUCCAGCUAGAUGUUGCUUAAUCCUAUUAACUCCCUCUUUAUAAACUUUCAUGCAGUACAUGCAUUGAAGGUCAUUACAUGCGCCCGUCCUGGGUCCGUCCAUCUACUGCUAAUAGAAGAUCCAAUUGUAUUACCCUUAUCACCCAUUU
RNAcentral lists this unclassified non-coding RNA (224 nucleotides) under Hevea brasiliensis (rubber tree). The record is from RNAcentral. Lineage: Eukaryota; Viridiplantae; Streptophyta; Magnoliopsida; Malpighiales; Euphorbiaceae.